RNAcentral lists this ribosomal RNA (458 nucleotides) under uncultured bacterium. RNAcentral describes it as "partial 16S ribosomal RNA". It matches the Rfam family "Bacterial small subunit ribosomal RNA", at positions 338 to 795 of the family's 1533-position model. The record is from RNAcentral.
CCUACGUGAGUCUGCAGUGAGGAAUAUUGGUCAAUGUGCGAGAGCCUUAACCAGCCAAAUCGCGUGAGGGAAUACUGCCCUAUGGGUUGUAAACCUCUUUUGUCGGGGAGCAAAAGCCGGACGUGUCCGGCUGUGAGAGUACCCGAAGAAAAAGCAUCGGCUAACUCCGUGCCAGCAGCAGCGGUAAUACGGAGGAUGCGAGCGUUAUACGGAUUUAUUGGGUGUAAAGGGUGCGCAGGCGGAUUUUUAAGUCAGCGGGAAAAUCGUGGGGCUCAACCCCAUCCAGCCGUUGAAACUGGGGAUCUAGAGUGUGCGAGAGGUAUGCGGAAUGCGUGGUGUAGCGGUGAAAUGCAUAGAUAUCACGCAGAACCCCGAUUGCGAAGGCAGCAUACCGGUGCACAACUGACGCUCAGGCACGAAAGCGUGGGUAUCGAACAGGAUUAGAUACACGUGUAGUC